RNAcentral lists this ribosomal RNA (274 nucleotides) under uncultured bacterium. RNAcentral describes it as "partial 16S ribosomal RNA". It matches the Rfam family "Bacterial small subunit ribosomal RNA", at positions 523 to 796 of the family's 1533-position model. The record is from RNAcentral.
AUACGGAGGGUGCAAGCGUUAAUCGGAAUUACUGGGCGUAAAGCGCGCGUAGGCGGUUUGGUAAGUCAGAUGUGAAAUCCCCGGGCUCAACCUGGGAACUGCAUUUGAUACUGCCGAACUAGAGUGUGGUAGAGGGUAGUGGAAUUCCAGGUGUAGCGGUGAAAUGCGUAGAUAUCUGGAGGAACAUCAGUGGCGAAGGCGGCUGCCUGGACCAACACUGACGCUGAGGUGCGAAAGCGUGGGGAGCAAACAGGAUUAGAAACCCCAGUAGUCC